Molecule: ribosomal RNA, 552 nt
Filed under: uncultured bacterium
Lineage: Bacteria
Description: bacterial SSU rRNA
Rfam family: Bacterial small subunit ribosomal RNA
Source: RNAcentral
UAGGGAAUCUUCGGCAAUGGACGGAAGUCUGACCGAGCAACGCCGCGUGAGUGAAGAAGGUUUUCGGAUCGUAAAGCUCUGUUGUAAGAGAAGAACGAGUGUGAGAGUGGAAAGUUCACACUGUGACGGUAUCUUACCAGAAAGGGACGGCUAACUACGUGCCAGCAGCCGCGGUAAUACGUAGGUCCCGAGCGUUGUCCGGAUUUAUUGGGCGUAAAGCGAGCGCAGGCGGUUAGAUAAGUCUGAAGUUAAAGGCUGUGGCUUAACCAUAGUACGCUUUGGAAACUGUUUAACUUGAGUGCAAGAGGGGAGAGUGGAAUUCCAUGUGUAGCGGUGAAAUGCGUAGAUAUAUGGAGGAACACCGGUGGCGAAAGCGGCUCUCUGGCUUGUAACUGACGCUGAGGCUCGAAAGCGUGGGGAGCAAACAGGAUUAGAUACCCUGGUAGUCCACGCCGUAAACGAUGAGUGCUAGGUGUUAGACCCUUUCCGGGGUUUAGUGCCGUAGCUAACGCAUUAAGCACUCCGCCUGGGGAGUANNACNAGNGAAGGUUG